Molecule: non-coding RNA, 26 nt
Filed under: Rattus norvegicus (Norway rat)
Lineage: Eukaryota; Metazoa; Chordata; Mammalia; Rodentia; Muridae
Source: RNAcentral
UGAGACAUCUCGGUCCUUGGCUUGGC